This 400-nucleotide ribosomal RNA is filed under the name uncultured bacterium. RNAcentral's name for it is "bacterial SSU rRNA". It matches the Rfam family "Bacterial small subunit ribosomal RNA", at positions 356 to 773 of the family's 1533-position model. The record is from RNAcentral.
GGGGAAUAUUGCACAAUGGGCGAAAGCCUGAUGCAGCAACGCCGCGUGGAGGAUGAAGGCCUUCGGGUUGUAAACUCUUGUCUUCUGGGACGAUAAUGACGGUACCAGAGGAGGAAGCCACGGCUAACUACGUGCCAGCAGCCGCGGUAAUACGUAGGUGGCAAGCGUUGUCCGGAAUUACUGGGCGUAAAGGAUGCGUAGGCGGAUACUUAAGUCAGAUGUGAAAAUCCCGGGCUUAACUUGGGAACUGCAUUUGAAACUGGGUAUCUAGAGUGCGGGAGAGGAAAGUGGAAUUCCUAGUGUAGCGGUGAAAUGCGUAGAGAUUAGGAAGAACACCAGUGGCGAAGGCGACUUUCUGGACCGUAACUGACGCUGAGGCAUGAAAGCGUGGGGAGCAAAC